UGGGGAAUUUUGGACAAUGGACGAAAGCCUGAUCCAGCAAUGCCGCGUGUGUGAAGAAGGCCUUCGGGUUGUAAAGCACUUUUGUCCGGAAAGAAAUCCUUGGCUCUAAUACAGUCGGGGGAUGACGGUACCGGAAGAAUAAGCACCGGCUAACUACGUGCCAGCAGCCGCGGUAAUACGUAGGGUGCAAGCGUUAAUCGGAAUUACUGGGCGUAAAGCGUGCGCAGGCGGUUUGCUAAGACCGAUGUGAAAUCCCCGGGCUCAACCUGGGAACUGCAUUGGUGACUGGCAGGCUAGAGGUAUGGCAGGAGGGGGGUAGAAUUCCACGUGUGAGCAGUGAAAUGCGUAGAGAUGUGGAGGAAUA
Molecule: ribosomal RNA, 364 nt
Filed under: uncultured bacterium
Lineage: Bacteria
Description: partial 16S ribosomal RNA
Rfam family: Bacterial small subunit ribosomal RNA
Source: RNAcentral